RNAcentral lists this long non-coding RNA (4563 nucleotides) under Medicago truncatula (barrel medic). RNAcentral's name for it is "long non-coding RNA (MTRU_LNC002865)". Lineage: Eukaryota; Viridiplantae; Streptophyta; Magnoliopsida; Fabales; Fabaceae. The record is from RNAcentral.
ACUACUUUGGUAACUUACUCAGAACAAGAAAAAACAGACACACAUAAACACACUUGUUUUUUUACUAAAGUUAUUUUUUCUUCCAAUGGCAACUGAAAACAAAAUCCUGAUCCUAGGACCAACAGGAGCUAUUGGAAGACACAUAGUUUGGGCAAGUAUUAAAGCAGGAAAUCCAACAUAUGCUUUGGUUAGAAAAACACCUGGCAAUGUUAACAAGCCAAAGCUUAUUACAGCUGCUAAUCCUGAAACCAAGGAAGAGCUUAUUGAUAAUUACCAAUCUUUAGGAGUUAUUCUACUUGAAGUAAGUGAUUUCAAUUUCUGAAAUAAUUUUAUAUUUUAUACUAAUUAAAUUUUUCUAAUCAAUAUGUCUUUGACUCUGCAGGGUGAUAUAAAUGAUCAUGAAACUCUUGUUAAGGCAAUCAAGCAAGUUGAUAUUGUGAUUUGUGCUGCUGGUAGACUACUAAUUGAGGAUCAGGUCAAGAUUAUUAAAGCAAUUAAAGAAGCUGGAAACGUUAAGGUGAGCAAAUUUGUCACUACACCACACUAAAUAAGUUCAAAUAAGUCAAUCUAAAUAAACUAUUAAGUAAUAGCUCCUUUGCUGGUUAGAUUUCGGCUUGUUAUAUUGAAUGUUGGUACUAAAUUUCUUGUGUCUACAGAAAUUUUUCCCAUCCGAAUUUGGGCUAGACGUGGACCGUCACGAGGCAGUUGAGCCAGUUAGACAAGUUUUUGAAGAAAAAGCGAGUAUCCGAAGAGUAAUUGAAGCUGAAGGAGUUCCUUACACUUACCUUUGUUGCCACGCCUUUACCGGUUACUUCUUACGUAACUUGGCUCAACUCGACGUCACUGAUCCUCCUCGGGAUAAAGUUGUCAUUCUUGGAGAUGGAAAUGUGAAAGGUAGCAAACUUAUUCACAAAACAGUUUUAGUACUAGUAUUCUACUAAACAUACAUCAUUCAAUUGUUUCAACAUUUGCCUUAAUUUUUUUUUUUUUCAGGAGCUUAUGUCACUGAGGCUGAUGUUGGGACUUUUACCAUUAAAGCAGCAAAUGAUCCCAACACAUUGAACAAAGCUGUCCAUAUAAGACUCCCCAAAAAUUAUUUGACCCAAAAUGAGGUUAUUUCUCUUUGGGAGAAAAAGAUUGGGAAGACUCUUGAGAAAACUUAUGUUUCAGAGGAACAAGUUCUCAAGGAUAUUCAAGGUCAGUAAAAUAAACGCUUUAUAAAUAUUGUUAAGAAUUUUUACAAUGUUAAUCAAUCAAUAAAUCGUUAAAAUUAUUUGAUUUUAAUUAUAUCUAUGCUUACUACGCAGAAUCUUCAUUCCCUCAUAACUACUUGUUGGCAUUGUAUCAUUCACAACAAAUAAAAGGAGAUGCAGUUUAUGAGAUUGAUCCAACCAAAGAUAUUGAAGCUUCUGAAGCCUAUCCUGAUGUCACAUACACCACUGCUGAUGAAUAUUUGAAUCAAUUUGUCUAAGUUUGUCAUCCCGGAAAUGUUAAAUAAGACAAAGAUUAUUUUUUCUUAAUAGUUUCACAUGUUGUACCACAUCAAUUAUAUUGUUAGUUGUCCUUGUUGUCUUGUUCUCAAUAAACCUUCCAAUUGAUGUAAUAUUUUACAAAAAUAAUAAUAUUGUAUUGUUCUAUUGUUUGCACAUUUGUGUCACUAGUAUCACUCUAUUAUUUUGUUGUUGCCCGUGAAUGGGUGACUCAAUAAAUUAUUUAAUACCCACGUCAGGAUGGACCGAUCUACCGUAUGAAGCAAUAUUUGUUUGGUCUCGGUUAUAAAUUUAAAUUAUUUACACACAUGCAAAAGAAAAAAAGUAGAAAGAAUGAACCAAUAUUUUUUUAUUUUAUUUUUAUGGGGGUGUUUGUUUGGGAGAUAAAAAAUAUAUUCCUGGGUAUAAGGGCAUUAAAUAUGAUAUUCCUAUGUUUGGUAGAAGGGAACAAAAAUAAUAUACCCAGGAAUAAAUGAUUCCCAGGAAUCUUAUUUACCCGUUGACUCUCUAUUUUUAUUCCCGGGGGUGGGGGGCUGGAAUCUUCAAUUCCUGAGAAUGAAAUCUCCACAUUCAUGACGAAAACCCACCCAUACCCCUAUUUUACCCACGCUUCUUCCCUCCUAAUUUUUCCCACGCGUUUUCUAAAUUAAUAGAAACCCACAUAUAUAUAAACCCCUCUUUGCUCUCUCUUUUCACUCAUCUGGAUCCAGAUCCAUCCAUAACAGGUUUGUGUCUUAUGUUUUGUUUUGUUUUUUGCGUUUUUUUAACUGCUGGACAGAUUCUCGGCCUGCCAGGCUGCUGUACCAGCGGAGCUGGGCCGCGCAAAUGCGAGUUUCGGUGACUGACAUUCGAGCGGGCAUCCACCAUUCUGUUGCUGUUGCAUGUCAAAGGUGUUGGGCAGUCUGCCAACCUUCAAUUAAAUGGCGUGUAACAACUUGAAACAGGGUACUCUUGUUAUGUAUUAAAAAACAAGUAUAUACCCUGACCAAUACCUUUGUUGACUCGCAUAAUUUACUUUGCUUGAUUAAAAAUAACAUGAAAAAUAUUAUUUUUCAUCAAUUUAAUGUAAAAGGGUAUUUUAAUAAUUUUGACAUUUAUUCCUGGGAUUAUACAUUUUAAACCAAACAUAUUUUUAGUAUUCCCAGGAAUUUAGAAAGAAAGUUCCAAGGAAUUCAAAUUGGUAACCAAACACUUUUUUAAAAUAUUCCUAGGAAUAUAAUUCCAAGGAAUAUAUUCCUGGGAAAAUUAUUCCAGGGAAUAAUUUUUGCAUCUGUGAAACAAACGGCCCCUAUAUUAUUGAAAUAAGUGCCCUAAAGGCAUUUGUUAGCAUUCUCCUUAAAAUAAUUAUAUGAUGUGUAUUUUGAUUGUGCACUUAAAUGAUUUGAAUUUGUGGUUGUGACUAUAUAAAAAUUAUUCGACGGCAUGAUCAACAGACCGUGUGAACAAUUGAAAUAUAUUAAAUAAUCAUGUUCAGACAUCCCUUACUUGUAGAGGUGUCAAAUGGACUGGACAACCCAGUUCGGCUUAAGAGUUUUGACUACAUAAAUGAACCAGUCUGACCAAGCCCAUUUGUAAUUGGGCCGCAUAAAAUAUAAUUGAAUGGAUAUAGAAGUAUAAAUAUUUUUUACAUUACCAUUAAAUACUAAUUAAACUCUAGAUUUAUUUCUUCAAUUGAAUCAAAUUAAUACUACAUCCGUCCAUAAUUAUAGGAUCCUUUUGAAAAAUAACAGGAAUUAAGAAAAUUAAAAGUGAUAAUAAAUUUGUUUUUAAUUACAAUUGUUUUUACAAAUUUGUCUUUUAAGAGUGGGUUAGUCCGUUAAUGUAUGUUUACAAUGUAGUAUUUAAUGAUGAUUGAAGAAAAAGAUAUACAAUAAAUAGGGGUAUGGUGGUAAAGAAUUAAUUAAUAUAUUUGGAAAUAGCAAAGAGAUUUUUAUAAAAAGAGACAAAAAAAUUCUCAAAAGGGUCCUAUAAUUAGGGACAGAGACAGUAGUUUAUAAACUUUAGAAUUUUAAAACUUUGAACUAAAUUUAUGCAUUUUUAUUAAGUUGACUUAUUUCAAUAUAUUUUAUUAAUAAAUUUUUAAAGUAGUUGAUAAUGUUUUUAAAAAAUAUAGCGUUUUUUAACAAAAAUAAAAUAAAAGUAUAGAUAGUAGGUCGGUCCGAAGUCCGAUAGGUUAGCCUGACUCGGCCCCAUUUUCAUAUGGAUCAAAUGAGCUAAGGUAAAAAAAAAUACGAGAGUAUUUUUAGUUAGGUUUGUGGUUCGGCCCAAAAUGUGUCAUUUUUUAUGUCUCUACUUACUAGCCAUCUCACCAUUAACAACGAUUUGUCAACUAAACAAUGUCAUCUUCUUUUCUAUUAAAGUUAACCCGGAAGCCCUAAUUUUAACCUAAACUAUAUUGCAUAAAUUUACUGUUUUAACCCUAAUGCUUAAUUCCUUUGUUUAAUCCUAUUAACCCUAUUUCUUGGUUGAAACAAAUUGAACCUAAUCUCCUAUUUUCUUGAAUAAAACAAAUUGGCCCUAUUUCUUCAACAAAACAAAUCGCUUUAUUUCUUGCUUUAAAAAAGAAACAACAACUCAAGUUGGGAUACUCUACUUGACCUAGAAGAGAAAUAACGGAAAGAAGAACUUGCCUUUUUGAGAACUUAUUGUCGGAACUCGGAAGCAAUGGUGAUCUGCUAAGUUUAUGGCGAGUUCGAUUGAUUAUGAGCUGCUAAGUUCGAUUGAGUAAGAGUUCGAUUGAUUAUGAGUUGCGAAGUUCCAUUGAGUAACAGGCAACAAAUCCUUCUUCUCAUGGCGGUAGGGAUGAGAGAUUUUGCUUACAACAAAUUAAUGGCAUGAUCAUAGGAAAGAGAUUUUAGUUUCUAGGUUUAGUAAGAACAAUGGGAUGAGAAAUGAUGAGGUAGAGUUGCAUGUGAAGAUAUGAUGAGGGAGAUAAAGAUGUUGAUAGGUUUUGGAAUAGGAAAGUAAUUUUUAUGAGAGAGGUUGACUACAGCUAUAAAAUAAAUGAUAAUUAUAUUUAUUUGAUACUUCCUAAAUGUUGUUACUUGAGAGUUAAAACGAUCUCUUUCCUGUG